RNAcentral lists this ribosomal RNA (468 nucleotides) under uncultured bacterium. RNAcentral describes it as "partial 16S ribosomal RNA". It matches the Rfam family "Bacterial small subunit ribosomal RNA", at positions 28 to 507 of the family's 1533-position model. The record is from RNAcentral.
GACGAACGCUGGCGGCGUGCUUAACACAUGCAAGUCGAACGGAAAGGCCCUGCUUUUGUGGGGUGCUCGAGUGGCGAACGGGUGAGUAACACGUGAGUAACCUGCCCUUGACUUUGGGAUAACUUCAGGAAACUGGGGCUAAUACCGGAUAGGAGCUCCUGCUGCAUGGUGGGGGUUGGAAAGUUUCGGCGGUUGGGGAUGGACUCGCGGCUUAUCAGCUUGUUGGUGGGGUAGUGGCUUACCAUGGCUUUGACGGGUAGCCGGCCUGAGAGGGUGACCAGCCGCAUCGGGACUAAGAUAAGGCCCAGACUCCUACGGGAGGCAGCAGUGGGGAAUAUUGCACAGUGGACGGAGGCCUGACGCAGCAACGCCGCGUGCGGGAUGACGGACUUCGGGUUGUAAACCGCUUUCGCCUGUGACGAAGCGUGAGUGACGGUAAUGGGUAAAGAAGCACCGGCUAACUACGUG